This is a long non-coding RNA of Dreissena polymorpha, 646 nucleotides long. RefSeq lists it as uncharacterized. The transcript has 3 exons. The record is from RefSeq and is a predicted model, not a curated record. Lineage: Eukaryota; Metazoa; Mollusca; Bivalvia; Myida; Dreissenidae.
UACAUCAGAUGUUGGGUAUGUUUGCUGCAAAUCUAUUGGUUAUAAGAUAUAACAGCCUUUUCUAAUUGGCUGAAUUCAAAUACAGAAAGUUUACCUGUUAGAUUGAAACAUGAAACAUGGUGGACAAUGUACUGGUUUAACUUGUUAAAAUAAAGUUAAAGACAUUUAACAAACAGAAGAGUUCAUUAGUUUUUCCAUUAAAAACACUUUCUUAAAAUACUUAUGUAUUUAUAUCAUUUGGAAAGUGACAUGAAAUAUUGCUAAAGAGUGAUGCAUACAGUGUUUGAGCAGUCUGUCUAGGAAUAGAACAACAACUGAAGUUGAUGGAAGAUACUGCAGAGUUUGGCAGGGAAAUAAUCCAACAGCAAAGCGGCUCUUUAAGCGCAUUUACCUAGAGGACUUACAGGGCCACAAAUUCAUGAGCACAUGUGAGCAGUAUACAAUGUACCUCAUACCAAAAAGGACCCGGAGGCAGUGACUGGUGUUCAAUAUUCUCAGAAGAAAAGGAAAAUGGCAGUGGAAGACUUGGACAAACAUUUUUAAAAACUAGCCUCUGUGUUAAGCCUGGCAGUCUGUGGCUGGUGACAUGUUUUAUUUUGGUUACUUCUUGUAUAAAAAAGACCAGUUAUUUAUUUUGUGAAUUGUA